GUGAAUCAUCAAAUUUUUGAACGCAAAUUGCACUCUCCUCGGAGAGUAUGCCUGUUUGAGGGUCAGCCUAAAAAAAAUCGACAGCGUUGCUGUUCCGCGGUUACUUUCGUCGGAAAUUGGGUUAUCUUAAACCUUUUGUUUUAAGCGACUUAAAAUUUUCCUUUUGAUUCAUUGAACGUUUCGAUGCUUUAUUUCUUUACACGUUUAAGGUUU
RNAcentral lists this unclassified non-coding RNA (213 nucleotides) under Glomus sp. Its description in RNAcentral is "partial contains 5.8S ribosomal RNA and internal transcribed spacer 2". The stretch from base 1 to 65 matches the Rfam family "5.8S ribosomal RNA", at positions 84 to 154 of the family's 154-position model. Lineage: Eukaryota; Fungi; Glomeromycota; Glomeromycetes; Glomerales; Glomeraceae. The record is from RNAcentral.